This 253-nucleotide ribosomal RNA is filed under the name uncultured bacterium. RNAcentral describes it as "partial 16S ribosomal RNA". It matches the Rfam family "Archaeal small subunit ribosomal RNA", at positions 474 to 727 of the family's 1478-position model. The record is from RNAcentral.
UACCAGCACCCCGAGUGGUCGGGAAGAUUAUUGGGCCUAAAGCAUCCGUAGCCGGCUCUACAAGUCUUCCGUUAAAUCCACCUGCUCAACAGAUGGGCUGCGGAGGAUACUAUAGAGCUAGGAGGCGGGAGAGGCAAGCGGUACUUAGUGGGUAGGGGUAAAAUCCGUUGAUCCAUUGAAGACCACCAGUGGCGAAGGCGGCUUGCCAGAACGCACUCGACGGUGAGGGAUGAAAGCUGGGGGAGCAAACCGG